GUAGGGGGCUAGCGUUAUCCGGAAUUACUGGGCGUAAAGGGUGCGUAGGUGGUUUCUUAAGUCAGAGGUGAAAGGCUACGGCUCAACCGUAGUAAGCCUUUGAAACUGGGAAACUUGAGUGCAGGAGAGGAGAGUGGAAUUCCUAGUGUAGCGGUGAAAUGCGUAGAUAUUAGGAGGAACACCAGUUGCGAAGGCGGCUCUCUGGACUGUAACUGACACUGAGGCACGAAAGCGUGGGGAGCAAACAGGAUUAGAUACCCUGGUAGUCCACGCCGUAAACGAUGGAUGCUAGGUGUGGGAGGUAUCGACCCCUUCCGUGCCGCAGUUAACGCAAUAAGCAUCCCGCCUGGGGAGU
Molecule: ribosomal RNA, 355 nt
Filed under: uncultured bacterium
Lineage: Bacteria
Description: bacterial SSU rRNA
Rfam family: Bacterial small subunit ribosomal RNA
Source: RNAcentral